GAUAUCAACUGAAAAAGUCAUCAACAACAAAGUUAAAUAACUCAUCAAGAUCUAAAACUUUUAUUUUGGUCAUUUCUUCAUACAACAAAGUGAUAGUAACAUUGUUCAUAAAAUUGACAUAUCUCUUAUCUGGUUUUAUAAACUAUAACACAUAUAUGUAAAAUUUGUGAAUAAUGUUACUAACAUUUUGUCAGAUGAAGAAAUAACAAAAAUAAAAGUUUUAGAUCUUGAUGAGUUAUUCAACUUUGUUGUUGAUGACUUUUUCAAUUGAAAUC
This 275-nucleotide microRNA precursor is filed under the name Oryza glumipatula. RNAcentral's name for it is "MIR821 microRNA precursor family". It matches the Rfam family "MIR821 microRNA precursor family". The record is from Rfam by way of RNAcentral. Lineage: Eukaryota; Viridiplantae; Streptophyta; Magnoliopsida; Poales; Poaceae.